RNAcentral lists this ribosomal RNA (607 nucleotides) under uncultured bacterium. RNAcentral's name for it is "bacterial SSU rRNA". It matches the Rfam family "Bacterial small subunit ribosomal RNA", at positions 93 to 740 of the family's 1533-position model. The record is from RNAcentral.
GAGUGGCGAACGGGUGAGUAACGCGUGGGAACCUACCCAGCAGUUGGGGAUAACAGCGGGAAACUGCGGCUAAUACCGAAUACGUCGGAGAAAGAUUUAUCGCUGUUGGAGGGGCCCGCGUCGGAUUAGCUAGUUGGUGAGGUAAUGGCUCACCAAGGCAUCGAUCCGUAGCUGGUCUGAGAGGAUGAUCAGCCACACUGGGACUUAGACACGGCCCAGACUCCUACGGGAGGCAGCAGUGGGGAAUAUUGGACAAUGGGGGCAACCCUGAUCCAGCAAUGCCGCGUGAGUGAUGAAGGCCUUAGGGUUGUAAAGCUCUUUUACCGGGGACGAUGAUGACGGUACCCGGAGAAUAAGCCCCGGCUAACUUCGUGCCAGCAGCCGCGGUAAUACGAAGGGGGCGAGCGUUGUUCGGAGUUACUGGGCGUAAAGGGCGCGUAGGCGGCGGACCAAGUUAGGCGUGAAAGCCCCGGGCUCAACCUGGGAAUUGCGCUUAAGACUGGUCUGCUUGAGUGCGGGAGAGGUGAGUGGAAUUCCCAGUGUAGAGGUGAAAUUUGUAGAUAUUGGGAAGAACACCAGUGGCGAAGGCGGCUCACUGGCCCGCAAC